Lemur catta (Ring-tailed lemur) is the source of this 536-nucleotide long non-coding RNA. RefSeq lists it as uncharacterized. The transcript is spliced from 2 exons. NCBI's taxonomy places the organism in Eukaryota, Metazoa, Chordata, Mammalia, Primates, Lemuridae. The record is from RefSeq and is a predicted model, not a curated record.
ACAAAGAUGGCCGCCCAACGCCAGGCCUCUUCGGACGCGGCGCUGCCAGCCUUAGCGGGUCCGCGGGAGGAGACCAGGUGCCAGUCAAGGCCUUGGCUCCCGCCUUCACUGCCUUGUAAUUGGUGAUGACGCCCGCGCGGGCACUGGGAUUGACUGUAUCCUCCUUUGCAAAAUGGGAAGAAUAAAUCCUGCUCCCCAAGCUGUGGUGACAAAGUGCUGAGCAAAAUGCCUGAAAUGCGACAGAGAACAUAUGCUUGAGUUCCCACCCACCGCCUUCACUACCUGGGUCCAGCCUCACCUCACGCACAGAGCUCCCAUUCCAAGGUAGAGGAGCGUGGUUUCUACACCUUUUCCUGGGGCUUGGGCUUGGGUUCAUCGGUGAUGUCCAGAGCAGUGCAUGGCCCUGCCUUCUUGAUGCAUCCUCAUAGCAUCUCAUCAGGCUCCAAAAGCAAAAUUGAUCUUCCCCUCCUGUCCUGCCUUGUCCACAUUACCCACAUCUCAAUAAAUGCUAUUUCCAUGGAGAUAGUCAAGCUAAA